GCCCUAAUGAACUGAUAUCCCACAAUCGUACAUACGUGAACCCUCCAUUUCUUACCUUUCCGUAUCGUCCUCCUCUUCUUUUUUCUUUCCUCUUCUCCAAUGGCGAUCGUGACGAUUCUUCAAUGAAUCUCGUGGACUUCUCGUAUUUCUAAAUAUACUUUCCUCAUCGGACUUCUAAUUCUUCAUUUCCUAUCUCGAGCUCUCGCGUUGCCAUCGAGCAGCUUGCACUUCGAGAAUGGGCGGUGAUAAUGCCAUCACUCUUGAGGAGAUUAAAAGCGAGGCCGUUGAUCUGGAACGUAUUCCAAUAGAGGAAGUGUUUGAACAGUUGAAAUGUACACGAGAAGAACACAAAUGUGAAUUCGUGGAAGGGCUGAAGGAAAGGAAGCAUAUGUGUGCAAUGACAGGGAAUGGUGUUAAUGAUGCACCUUCUUUAAAGAAGGCAGAUAUCGGAAUGGCUGUUCCUGAUGCUACUGAUGCAGCCAGAUUGCUUCGGAUAUUGUCGGUACAGAACCAGGAUUGAGUGUAAUUGUUAGUGCGGUACUCACCAAUAGGCUAUUGGUUAGGAAUUGGUUAGGAAUCACGGAUCUCCACCAUAGUAUGAUAAGCUCUCAUGGCUUUGCUUUUGGGCUUUCCCAAAAGGUCUCAUACACAUAUUUUUUACUUAUAAACCCAUGAUCAUUCCCUAAAUUAGCCCAUAGCCAACCUGGGACUCACUCUCAACAAUCCUCAAUGCUAUUUUCGAGGGAAUGAAGAAUUUCACGAUUUAUGCAGUUUCAAUUACCAUUCGUACAGUGGCAUCAUUCUGAAUGACGGUAAAUUCACAGGAAUGGAACUUCAUCUCAUAUAUUACGUCUAGAGAGAAGCACAAUGGGCAGAAACACAGAGGAGUCUACAUGGUCUACAACCACCUGAAAACUCCAAUCUCUUUCAUGAGAAAAGUAAUCAUAUGGAGCUUUCAGAGAUCGCAGAGACAGCCAAGCGCCGUGCUGCUGAGGUUGCAUGGUCAGUAUUUGCAUUUUCUCUCUUUGCAUUUUCUCUCUA
Cucurbita pepo subsp. pepo (vegetable marrow) is the source of this 1041-nucleotide RNA transcript. It is a transcript of the gene named ATPase 8, plasma membrane-type, with no coding region annotated. The record is from RefSeq and is a predicted model, not a curated record. NCBI's taxonomy places the organism in Eukaryota, Viridiplantae, Streptophyta, Magnoliopsida, Cucurbitales, Cucurbitaceae.